This 107-nucleotide small nucleolar RNA is filed under the name Cephalotus follicularis. RNAcentral's name for it is "Plant small nucleolar RNA R71". It matches the Rfam family "Plant small nucleolar RNA R71". Rfam says of the family: R71 is a member of the C/D box family of snoRNAs containing the C (UGAUGA) and D (CUGA) box motifs. Multiple nearly identical copies of this snoRNA have been identified in Arabidopsis, and it is thought to function as a 2'-O-ribose methylation guide for 18S ribosomal RNA. Lineage: Eukaryota; Viridiplantae; Streptophyta; Magnoliopsida; Oxalidales; Cephalotaceae. The record is from Rfam by way of RNAcentral.
AAACCAUGAUGUGGACACUCUAAAACAAGGUCUUUGAAACGUUCCAUACAUCUAGAGAAUGAUUCAUUGUGUCGCUGGAGAAACUGGAGAAUGUCAUUUCUAAGUUU